This 383-nucleotide ribosomal RNA is filed under the name uncultured eukaryote. RNAcentral describes it as "partial 18S ribosomal RNA". It matches the Rfam family "Eukaryotic small subunit ribosomal RNA", at positions 592 to 976 of the family's 1831-position model. The record is from RNAcentral.
CAAUAGCGUAUAUUAAAGUUGUUGCAGUUAAAAAGCUCGUAGUUGGAUUUCUGGUGGGAGCGAUCGGUCUGGCGCUUAGCGCGAGUACUUGCAUCGUCUCCGGCCAUCCUUGGGGAGAGUCUGUCUGGCAUUAAGUUGUCGGGCAGAGGAUCCUCAUCGUUUACUGUGAAAAAAUUGGAGUGUUCAAAGCAGGCUUAUGCCGUUGAAUAUAUUAGCAUGGAAUAAUAAGAUAGGACUUUGGUACUAUUUUGUUGGUUUGCGCAUCAAAGUAAUGAUUAAUAGGGACAGUUGGGGGUAUUCGUAUUCCGUUGUCAGAGGUGAAAUUCUUGGAUUUACGGAAGACGAACUACUGCGAAAGCAUUUACCAAGGAUGUUUUCAUUAA